AAGGUUAAGCACUUAAGGUGCGGAGCCGUAGCGAAAGCGAGUUUUAACUGAGCGUUCAGUUACUUGACGUAGACCCGAAACCGGGCGACCUACCCAUGAGCAGGAUGAAGCGAAAGUAAAAUUUCGUGGAGGUCCGAACCCACGAGCGUUGAAAAGCUCGGGGAUGACUUGUGGGUAGCGGUGAAAUUCCAAUCGAGCCCGGAGAUAGCUGGUUCUCCCCGAAAUAGCUUUAGGGCUAGCCUCAAGGUGAGAGAUACGGAGGUAGAGCACUGAAUGUCCUAGGGGGUAUUGCACCUACCGAAGACUAUCAAACUCCGAAUGCCGUCAUCUUAUACUUGGGAGUCAGACUGUGGGUGAUAAGAUUCAUAGUCGAAAGGGCAACAGCCCAGAUCGUCAGCUAAGGUCCCUAAAUGUAAGUUAAGUGGUAAAGGAUGUGGGAUUGCACAGACAACCAGGAUGUUGGCUUAGAAGCAGCCACUCAUUCAAAGAGUGCGUAAUAGCUCACUGGUCGAGUGAUCCUGCGCCGAAGAUUUCCGGGGCUAAAACUUACUACCGAAGCUACGGCAUCAGUAAUGAUGGGUAGGGGAGCUUCCCAUACGGGUUGAAGCAUGACCGUAAGGACAUGUGGACAGUAUGGGAGUGAGAAUGUUGGCAUGAGUAGCGAGAUGUGGGUGAGAAUCCCACAGGCCGUAAACCCAAGGUUUCCAGGGGAAGGUUCGUCCGCCCUGGGUUAGUCGGGACCUAAGCUGAGGCCGAAAGGCGUAGGUGAUGGACAACAGGUUGAUAUUCCUGUACUACCGAUAACCGUUUGAGAGAUGGGAUGACACAGUAGGAUAAGCUAAGCACACUGUUGGUUAUGUGUGCCCAAGCAUUGAGGCAGUCAAAGUAGGUAAAUCCGCUUUGAUAAUGCUGGGAUGUGAUGGGGAGCGAAAUUUAGUAGCGAAGUAGCUGAUUUCACACUGUCAAGAAAAGUCUCUAUCGAGGUUAAAGGUACCCGUACCGCAAACCGACACAGGUGGGUGAGGAGAGUAUCCUAAGGCCAGCGAGAGAACUGUUGUUAAGGAACUCGGCAAAAUGACCCCGUAACUUAGGGAUAAGGGGUGCCACCAUCAGGUGGCCGCAGAGAAUAGGCCCAAGCGACUGUUUACCAAAAACAUAGGUUUCUGCUAAGUCGCAAGACGAUGUAUAGGAGCUGACGCCUGCCCGGUGCUGGAAGGUUAAGGGGAUCUGUUAGAGCAAUCGAAGCAGUGAACUUAAGCCCCAGUAAACGGCGGCCGUAACUAUAACGGUCCUAAGGUAGCGAAAUUCCUUGUCGGGUAAGUUCCGACCCGCACGAAAGGCGUAACGAUUUGGGCACUGUCUCAACAACAGACUCGGUGAAAUUGUAAUUCCGGUGAAGAUGCCGGAUACCUGCGACAGGACGGAAAGACCCCAUGGAGCUUUACUGUAGCUUGACAUUGGGUCUUGGUACUACAUGUACAGGAUAGGUGGGAGGCUUUGAAACCAGGACGCCAGUUUUGGCGGAGCCAUCCUUGGGAUACCACCCUUGUAGUACUGGGACUCUAACCAUAGGCCAUGAAUCUGGUCUUGGGACACUGUCAGGUGGGCAGUUUGACUGGGGCGGUCGCCUCCCAAAAGGUAACGGAGGCGCUCAAAGGUUCUCUCAGUACGGUCGGAAAUCGUACGUAGAGUGUAAAGGCAAAAGAGAGCUUGAUUGCAAGACAUACAGGUCGAGCAAGGAUGAAAAUCGGACUUAGUGAUCCGGUGGUUCUGCGUGGAAGGGCCAUCGCUCAACGGAUAAAAGCUACCCUGGGGAUAACAGGCUUAUCUCCCCCAAGAGUCCACAUCGACGGGGAGGUUUGGCACCUCGAUGUCGGCUCAUCACAUCCUGGGGCUGUAGUAGGUCCCAAGGGUUGGGCUGUUCGCCCAUUAAAGUGGUACGCGAGCUGGGUUCAGAACGUCGUGAGACAGUUCGGUCCCUAUCCGUCGCAGGCGUAGGAAAUUUGAGAAGACCUGUCCUUAGUACGAGAGGACCGGGAUGGACG
Molecule: ribosomal RNA, 2045 nt
Filed under: Clostridioides difficile
Lineage: Bacteria; Bacillati; Bacillota; Clostridia; Peptostreptococcales; Peptostreptococcaceae
Description: partial 23S ribosomal RNA
Rfam family: Bacterial large subunit ribosomal RNA
Source: RNAcentral